RNAcentral lists this unclassified non-coding RNA (90 nucleotides) under Pseudomonas brenneri. The record is from RNAcentral. Lineage: Bacteria; Pseudomonadati; Pseudomonadota; Gammaproteobacteria; Pseudomonadales; Pseudomonadaceae.
UGUGGGAGCGGGCUUGCUCGCGAAAGCGGUGUGUCAGUCAAUACAUCCGCAGACUGAUAAAACGCUAUCGCGAGCAAGCCCGCUCCCACA